Molecule: ribosomal RNA, 468 nt
Filed under: uncultured bacterium
Lineage: Bacteria
Description: partial 16S ribosomal RNA
Rfam family: Bacterial small subunit ribosomal RNA
Source: RNAcentral
GACGAACGCUGGCGGCGUGCUUAACACAUGCAAGUCGAACGGAAAGGCCCUGCUUUUGUGGGGUGCUCGAGUGGCGAACGGGUGAGUAACACGUGAGUAACCUGCCCUUGACUUUGGGAUAACUUCAGGAAACUGGGGAUAAUACCGGAUAGGAGCUCCUGCUGCAUGGUGGGGGUUGGAAAGUUUCGGCGGUUGGGGAUGGACUCGCGGCUUAUCAGCUUGUUGGUGGGGUAGUGGCUUACCAAGGCUUUGACGGGUAGCCGGCCUGAGAGGGUGAACGGCCACAAUGGGACUGAGAUACGGCCCAGACUCGUAUGGGCGGCAGCAGUGGGGAAUAUUGCACAAUGGGCGGAAGCCUGAUGCAGCAACGCCGCGUGCGGGAUGACGGCCUUCGGGUUGUAAACCGCUUUCGCCUGUGACGAAGCGUGAGUGACGGUAAUGGGUAAAGAAGCACCGGCUAACUACGUG